AGGCACCGCACCAUCUCUCACCACGGCUCGGCCAGCCAAUAGCUAGUCGAGCUCCAGAACUCGGGCCUGCCUAUUGGCCCAAGAGCCCCGGGGGCGCAAGCAUGGUGCCCUUUCACUCCAACGAAAAGAACAAAGAGGGAAGUAUGGUGCGGUACAGAGAGAGAAGGCACCCUGAUUCCAGCAGGCCUCAGUAAACAGCACUCCAGAAGCAGAUGAGCCUCUUUCUGACAAUCACCAGAAGGUCAACAGAAGCCUAAAGCUUUGUCACAGUGCCAAGUCAUUUACCUGACUUCGUCACCUAGGAUUUUAUUGUCUCCCCUCAUCAUAAGAAGGGGGACAUUUGCAAGGAGUCUAUUGUGAAGCGACAUGAGCCAGUUUGUUCAACACUUACCAAGGUAAAAUCAGGUCAUUAGAUGUCAGAUGACUAAAGACACGUGGUGCGCCCAUGUGCGUCUCUCACACCACCAGGCUUCCACGUGAUAUGUUAAAAAUAAAAGCAAACCUUAAAUUCU
Long non-coding RNA from Suricata suricatta (meerkat), 512 nucleotides. RefSeq lists it as uncharacterized. Lineage: Eukaryota; Metazoa; Chordata; Mammalia; Carnivora; Herpestidae. The record is from RefSeq and is a predicted model, not a curated record. The transcript has 4 exons.